This 500-nucleotide ribosomal RNA is filed under the name uncultured bacterium. RNAcentral's name for it is "partial 16S ribosomal RNA". It matches the Rfam family "Bacterial small subunit ribosomal RNA", at positions 30 to 523 of the family's 1533-position model. The record is from RNAcentral.
AUUGAACGCUGGCGGAAUGCUUUACACAUGCAAGUCGAACGGCAGCACGGACUUCGGUCUGGUGGCGAGUGGCGAACGGGUGAGUAAUGUAUCGGAACGUGCCCAGUCGUGGGGGAUAACGUAGUGAAAAUUACGCUAAUACCGCAUACGAUCUAUGGAUGAAAGCGGGGGAUCGCAAGACCUCGCGCGAUUGGAGCGGCCGAUAUCAGACUAGGUAGUUGGUGGGGUAAAGGCCCACCAAGCCAACGAUCUGUAGCUGGUCUGAGAGGACGACCAGCCACACUGGAACUGAGACACGGUCCAGACUCCUACGGGAGGCAGCAGUGGGGAAUUUUGGACAAUGGGCGAAAGCCUGAUCCAGCCAUUCCGCGUGCAGGAUGAAAGCCCUCGGGUUGUAAACUGCUUUUGUACAGAACGAAAAGGUUUCUACUAAUACUAGGAGCUCAUGACGGUACUGUAAAAAUAAGCACCGGCUAACUACGUGCCAGCCGCCGCUGUAA